GACGAACGCUGGCGGCGUGCUUAACACAUGCAAGUCGAACGGUAAGGCCCUUCUGGGUACACGAGUGGCGAACGGGUGAGUAACACGUGGGUGAUCUGCCCUGCACUUCGGGAUAAGCCUGGGAAACUGGGUCUAAUACCGGAUAGGACUCCGGACUGCAUGGUCUGGGGUGGAGAGCUUUUGCGGUGUGGGAUGGGCCCGCGGCCUAUCAGCUUGUUGGUGGGGUGAUGGCCUACCAAGGCGACGACGGGUAGCCGGCCUGAGAGGGUGACCGGCCACACUGGGACUGAGAUACGGCCCAGACUCCUACGGGAGGCAGCAGUGGGGAAUAUUGCACAAUGGGCGCAAGCCUGAUGCAGCGACGCCGCGUGAGGGAUGACGGCCUUCGGGUUGUAAACCUCUUUCAGCAUCGACGAAGCGAAAGUGACGGUAGGUGCAGAAGAAGGACCGGCCAACUACGUGCCAGCCGCCGCGGUAA
Molecule: ribosomal RNA, 478 nt
Filed under: uncultured bacterium
Lineage: Bacteria
Description: partial 16S ribosomal RNA
Rfam family: Bacterial small subunit ribosomal RNA
Source: RNAcentral